CAGCAGCCGCGGUAAUACGAAGGGGGCUAGCGUUGCUCGGAAUCACUGGGCGUAAAGGGUGCGUAGGCGGGUCUUUAAGUCAGGGGUGAAAUCCUGGAGCUCAACUCCAGAACUGCCUUUGAUACUGAAGAUCUUGAGUUCGGGAGAGGUGAGUGGAACUGCGAGUGUAGAGGUGAAAUUCGUAGAUAUUCGCAAGAACACCAGUGGCGAAGGCGGCUCACUGGCCCGAUACUGACGCUGAGGCACGAAAGCGUGGGGAGCAAAUGGGAUUAGAUACCCCUGUAGUCCCUGUCUCUUAUAC
This 301-nucleotide ribosomal RNA is filed under the name uncultured bacterium. RNAcentral's name for it is "partial 16S ribosomal RNA". It matches the Rfam family "Bacterial small subunit ribosomal RNA", at positions 509 to 807 of the family's 1533-position model. The record is from RNAcentral.